Molecule: transfer RNA, 84 nt
Filed under: Ignavibacteria bacterium GWF2_33_9
Lineage: Bacteria; Pseudomonadati; Ignavibacteriota; Ignavibacteria
Description: tRNA-Leu
Rfam family: tRNA
About the family: Transfer RNA (tRNA) molecules are approximately 80 nucleotides in length. Their secondary structure includes four short double-helical elements and three loops (D, anti-codon, and T loops).
Source: RNAcentral
GCCCGGGUGGUGAAAUUGGCAGACACGCUACAUUCAGGGUGUAGUCUACUUUUGUAGGUGCAAGUUCAAGUCUUGUCCCGGGCA